CAGUAGGGAAUCUUCCACAAUGGACGAAAGUCUGAUGGAGCAACGCCGCGUGAGUGAAGAAGGUUUUCGGAUCGUAAAGCUCUGUUGUUGGUGAAGAAGGAUAGAGGCAGUAACUGGUCUUUAUUUGACGGUAAUCAACCAGAAAGUCACGGCUAACUACGUCGCCGG
This 168-nucleotide ribosomal RNA is filed under the name uncultured bacterium. RNAcentral's name for it is "partial 16S rRNA". It matches the Rfam family "Bacterial small subunit ribosomal RNA", at positions 352 to 511 of the family's 1533-position model. The record is from RNAcentral.